AUGGCCCUGGCGGCGGUGCUGGCCGCCGUGACUGUUGCUCGGGUGGCCACGGCUGCGACAAGUUACACGGUGGGGGCGCCGGAUGGGCUGUGGGACAUGCACACGGACUAUGCUGAGUGGGUCGCCGCCAGGACGUUCCACCCCGGCGACAACAUCACGUUUACGUACUCGAGAGAGCUGCACGACGUGGUGGAGGUGGGCAAGGCCGGCUACGACGCCUGCUCCAGCGCAAACAACGUCUCCGCCUUCCGCUCCGGCAACGACGUCGUCGCGCUCACCACCGUCGGCACGCGCUACUUCCUCUGCGGCCUCACCGGCCACUGCGACAGCGGAAUGAAGAUCAGGGUCGACGUGGUCGCCGCGUCCACCGGUCCCGUAGCCGCGCCGCCCACCACGUCUGCCGGGGGUAACGUCGUCGCAGGCCUUGGCGCGCUCGUGGUGACGCAUGCUCUCCUUGCCAGCAUCAGCGUCUGGUGA
This 477-nucleotide ribosomal RNA is filed under the name Triticum aestivum (bread wheat). RNAcentral's name for it is "partial small subunit ribosomal RNA". Lineage: Eukaryota; Viridiplantae; Streptophyta; Magnoliopsida; Poales; Poaceae. The record is from RNAcentral.